UGAGGAAUAUUGGUCAAUGGGCGCUAGCCUGAACCAGCCAAGUAGCGUGAAGGAUGAAGGCUCUAUGGGUCGUAAACUUCUUUUAUAUAAGAAUAAAGUGCAGUAUGUAUACUGUUUUGUAUGUAUUAUAUGAAUAAGGAUCGACUAACUCCGUGCCAGCAGCCGCGGUAAUACGGAGGAUGCGAGCGUUAUCCGGAUUUAUUGGGUUUAAAGGUGCGUAGGUGGUUUCUAAGUCAGCGGUGAAAGUUUGUGGCUUAACCAUAAAAUUGCCAUUGAUACUGGGAGACUUGAGUAUGUUUGAGGUAGGCGGAAUGCGUGGUGUAGCGGUGAAAUGCAUAGAUAUCACGCAGAACUCCGAUUGCGAAGGCAGCUUGCCAGGCCAUAACUGACACUGAAGCACGAAAGCGUGGGUAUCAAACAGGAUUAGAUACCCUGGUAGU
RNAcentral lists this ribosomal RNA (440 nucleotides) under uncultured Parabacteroides sp. RNAcentral describes it as "bacterial SSU rRNA". It matches the Rfam family "Bacterial small subunit ribosomal RNA", at positions 355 to 794 of the family's 1533-position model. Lineage: Bacteria; Pseudomonadati; Bacteroidota; Bacteroidia; Bacteroidales; Tannerellaceae. The record is from RNAcentral.